RNAcentral lists this long non-coding RNA (1027 nucleotides) under Canis lupus familiaris (dog). RNAcentral's name for it is "lncRNA (ENSCAFG00805006073.1, ENSCAFG00845021302.1)". Lineage: Eukaryota; Metazoa; Chordata; Mammalia; Carnivora; Canidae. The record is from RNAcentral.
AGCUUACGGUUCUCAUAUCUUAUGUCCCAAAACCUGAGCCUAGAAAAUUAUGUUUUCUGUAUUUAGGUUCCUCCUUAGUUUCAGUUCAUAAAUAUGUCAUAUCAGUCCUCCUCCUCACUGUGAUUUCCAAUGAUAAUAUGAGUAGCGGGGAUCUGUUGUCUGGUUAGGUUUUUUUUUUUUUUCCUGUUUUUUAAUUGCAUGAAUUUGACAUGUAAAACUGUGUAAAUUUAAGGUGUAUCAGGUGUUACUUAUUGCAAUGGUUGCCACUGUAACAAUAUUUCUCCCAUUACAUACUUACAACACAACAAUUAUUGCUUAUAUUCAACAUACUGCAUGUACUAUGAGCCUUUUGUCUGUAGUCUACACCUGUGCACGUGAGGCAGGUAUUCUUAUUUUAUUUUAUUUUAUUUUAUUUUUUCAAUUUAUUUAUUUGAGAGAGAUAGCAGGAGCAGCGGGGGGCAGAGGGAGAAGGAGAGAGAAUCCUAAGCAGACUCCACACUGAGGUGAAGCAGGACAUGGGACUCGAUCCCGUGACCCUGAGAUCAUGACCUGAGCCGAAACCAAAAGUCACACACUUAACCGACUGAGCCAUCCAGGUGCCCCAUGGAGCAGGUUUUCUUAUUUCUGCCAUUUUACAGAGGAUGAAACUGAGGCAGAAAGAGAAAAUAAUACUCUGAGUCCCAUAGCUGGUGGGACAGGAUUCAAAGCCGUGCUCCCAACCAGCAUCUUACCUCGUUUCCACCUUCAACAGUACUUACUCUGUCCCUAAACAUACAGUCAUGUCAGUAUUAAUUUAGAGCCAGCCCCCAAUUCCCAGUCUUACUCUUGACCACGUGGUGUUGCUGCCUGAGGCCGGCAAUAAGAUGCAGAAGACAGGGCGGCUGGCCAACUUCUUCCAGUGCUUGUAAAAAUUAGUUCAUGUGCCUUCGUGUAAAGCAGGCUGCUUCUCUUAACACCAACGUGGUCUUACACAAAAUUUUUUAGACAUUUUCAUAAAGGUAGACUCCCUUGCUGAGAACCUCAGACA